GGGGAUAACCUUGUUUGCACAACGCCUAGCGUGACGUCACUGUGGAUACAAAAGGAAAGGAUUUGCAAAAUCACCGUACAGAUAUCGUCAAAGUAAGUUUUGUAAGACUGCUCGCCAAUAAUCCAUAUAUUCAUAUCUUAUACAAAUUCAAUGCUUACAGCGCAACCACUUAUUAUUGUGCAUUUACAUUUCCCCCCUAUUUUAAUAACACAUUUCGACGCAUGAACGAUCUGCGUUUUUUCUCUCCUAAAUGAAAUAUCAGUGGCGGAUCCAGGGUGGGGGGGGGGGGGGUUCCGGGGGUGCGCACCCCCCCUUUAUUUUUGCCGAUCAAUGCAUUUGUAUCGGGACAUAUGUUUUGCACCCCCCCCCCCCCCCUUUGCCCUGUUUGCCCUGGGUUAGCACCCCCCCCCCCCCCUUUCGAAAAUUCCUGCAUCCGCCCCUGAAUAUUGAGAAUGAAAAUGGAGAAUGUGUCAGAGACAACAACCCGACCAAAGGAUAGACAACAGCCGAAGGCAACCAAUAGGUCUUCAAUCAUGCCAAUGCAGCGAGAAACUCCGGCACCCGGAGGUGUUCUUCAGCUGACCCCUAAAACAAAUAUGUAUAAAAAAAAUAUAUAAUUAAUGGACGACUUGGUUAUAUAAAAGAAACUAAAAUUAAUAUUCAUACUGACUGCAUAUUUUAUACUUCUGAGUUCUUAGAACGAGAUGAUGUUCACUUUUUGUUAUUCAUUAUAAUAUGGGGACGACCUUUUGAUAUGUAAAAAAAAGGGGGGGGGACAGGAAUUUGGAUCAUUUUCAUCCGUUGCUACUAUUUGAUCCUAUUUGUUUAUUUUUGCACUUUUGUACGUAUUUACACUUGUAUGCACAUUAGUCCAGUCGAAAUGUUUCAGUUCUUAUCUAUAGCAUUAAGCCCCAAAUGCACAGAAAAAAGUCCAAUAGAAUCUAACUUGAGGAAAACUCAAAUUUUGCAUUUAAAACUUAUGGAAAUUAGCAUUUGAAAGGGAGUUUUUUUUUGGUCAGUUUUUGGUUGAUUUUCUUAAAACUCAUGGAAAAUAUGAUAUUUUGAUAGGGUUAUAAGUUCUUUUUUUAUUAUAUUAUAUAUUCUUCUGCUCAUAAAAUGUACAAAACCGAAGUGUUAUGUGUAUUUUCAUGCACAUUUUCAUUAAAGAAAUUGCAAAUUUAUGGCUAUGUCAAAUUUUAAAGUAUAAGGCAUUCAGGAAAAACUUUGAAACGUUUAUUCUCUAUUUUCAGACACUGUAUGGCAUAUUUUAAAGUAAAUCUUCGAAACGUUUAUCCUCUUUUUCAGACAAUAUAUGGCAUGGAGUACAACUUUGAAACGUUAAAUCUCUAUUUUCAGAAUUCAGUUUAAUUUUCAAAUGUUAAUCUUCAAUUUUCAGACACUAUAUGGCAUGCUGAAUAAUUUUGAAUGUUUAUUCUUUAUUCCCAGACACGUUAUGGCAUGCAGACUCCAGUAUAACGUUACUAAAACGUUUACCCUCUACUUUUUCAGACAAUAUAAGGCAUGCAGGAAAAACUUUGAAACGUGUAUCCUCUAUUUUCAGACACUAUAUGGCAUGCAGCAAGACUUUGAAAAGUUUAUUCUCUAUUUUCAGACACUGUUACGGCAUGCAGCAAGACUAACCUUUAUCCUCUAUUUUCAGACAGUAUAAGGCAUUCAGGAAAAACUUUGAAACUUUUAUCCUCUAUUUUCAGACACUAUAUGGCAUGCAGCAAGACUUUGAAAAGUUUAUUCUCUAUUUUCAGACACUGUUACGGCAUGCAGCAAGACUAACCUUUAUCCUCUAUUUUCAGACAGUAUAAGGCAUUCAGGAAAAACUUUGAAACUUUAAUCAUAAUCCUCUAUUUUCAGACACUGUACGGCAUGGAGUAAAUCUUCGAAAUGUUUAUCCUCUUUUUCAGACAAUAUAUGGCAUGGAGUACAAACUUGAAACGUUUAAUCUCUAUUUUCAGACACUAAAUGGUAUGCAGUAAAAUUUUGAAAAGUUUGUCUUCUGUUUUUAGACAAUAUAUUGCAUUCAGUAUAAUUUUGAAAUGUUUAUCUUCAAUUUUCAGACACUAUAUCAUAUGCCAUGCUGAAUAAGGCCAUACUUAAAAAUAUUUUGGUUUACCCAAACCCUUCCCAAAGGUUGAGACAGUGGGUAGGUAGGUAGGCAUUCUUUUUUUUUUUUUUUUAAAGAAAUUGAAGUAUCAGAUGUUUAUUAGUAUUCAUGCCCAUUUGAUUAAAAAAAACUUCUUCAAAUCAUGACAAUAAAAGAAUUUGAGUAGGCAGCUUUUUUCUGGGUAGGUAGCGUUUGGGCAAACAAACCUAUUAUUUAUUAUGGCCUUAUUUUGAAAUGUUUAUACUUUAUUCCCAGACACUAUAUGGCAUGCAGUAAACUUUGAAAGGUUUAUCCUUUAUUUUUAUACACUGUAUGGCAUGCAGCAAGACUUGGAAACGUUUAUCCCCUAUUUUUCGUACACUGUAUGGCAUGCAGUAAAACUUUGAAAUGUCCCAUCUUUCAGAUACUAUAUCAAAUGACAUGCAGACAGUAUAACUUUGAAACUGUAGUCUGUAUGGCAUGCAGCAAGACUUUGAAUGAAACGUUUAUCAUCUAUUUUCAGACACUGUUUGGCAUGCAGUAAAACUUUAAAAUGUUUGUCUUCUUUUUUUCAGACAAUAUAUGACAUGCAGUAAAACUUUGAAAUGUCUCAUUUUUCAGAUACCAUAUCAUAUGAAAAGCAGGCAGUAUAACUUUGAAACAUUUUACUUUAUUUUCAGACACUGUAUGGCAUGCAGCAAGACUUUGAAACGUUUAUAUUCAAUUUUCAGACAUAACUUUGAAACGUUUAUUCUCUAUUUUCAGACACUGUUACGGCAUGCAGCAAGACAAACCUUUAUCCUCUGUUUUCAGACAGUAUAAGGCAUUCAGGAAAAUCUUUGAAACUUUUAUCCUAUAUUUUCAGACACUGUACGGUAUGGAGUAGAUCUUCGAAACGAUUGUCCUCUUUUUUUCAGACAAUAUAUGGCAUGGAGUACAACUUUGAAACGUUUAAUAUCUAUUUUCAGACACUAUAUGGUAUGCAGAAAAUUUUGAAAGUUUAUCUUCUUUUUUCAGACAAUAUAUAGCAUUCAGUAUAAUUUUGAUAUGUUUAUCUUCAAUUUUCAGACACUAUCAUAUGCCAUGCUGAAUAAUUUUGAAAUGUUUAUACUUUAUUCCCAGACACUAUAUGGCAUGCAGUAAACUUUGAAAGGUUUAAUAUCCUCUAUUUUCAGACACUGUAUGGCAUGCAGCAAGACUUUGAAACGUUUAUCACCUAUUUUUCAUACACUGUAUGGCAUGCAGUAAAACUUUGAAAUGUCCCAUCUUUCAGAUACUAUAUCAUAUGAAAUGAAGACAGUAUAACUUUGAAACAUUUAACUCUAUUUUCAGACAUUGUAUGGCAUGCAGCAAGACUUUGAAACGUUUUUCCUCUAUUUUCAGACACUGUAUGGCAUGCAGCAAGACUUUGAAACGUUUAUAUUCAAUUUUCAGACAGUAUAACUUUGAAACGUUUAUUCUCUAUUUUCAGACACUGUUACGGCAUGCAGCAAGACUAACGUUUAUCCUCUAUUUUCAGACAGUAUAUGGCAUGCAGUAAAUCUUCGAAACGAUUAUCCUCUUUUUUUCAGACAAUAUAUGGCAUGGAGUACAACUUUGAAACGUUUAAUCUCUAUUUUCAGACACUAUAUGGUAUGCAGAAAAUUUUGAAAAGUUUAUCUUCUAUUUUCAGACAAUAUAUAGCAUUCAGUAUAAUUUUGAAAUGUUUAUCUUCAAUUUUCAGACACUAUAUGGCAUGCUGAAUAAUUUUGAAUGUUUAUUCUUUAUUCCCAGACACUUUAUGGCAUGCAGACUCCAGUAUAACGUUACUAAAACGUUUACCCUCUACUUUUUUAGACAAUAAUUUUUUUUAUAAGGCAUGCAGGAAAAACUUUGAAACGUUUAUUCUCUAUUUUCAGACACUAUUUUCUAUUUAGUAUUUAUAAUAAUAAAUAUGGCAUACACUUUACAGUUAAACUAUAUAAUCUUUAUCCUCAAUUCAGACAGUAUAUGGAAUGCAGUAUAGCUUUGAAACGUUUAUCUUCAAUUUCCAGACACUAUAUAUCAUUAUGGCAUGCAGUAAAACUCUAAGUACCCUGCAGACACUAUAUGACAUAAACUGCAGUAUGAGUAAAACUCUGAAACAUUUAUCCUUUAUUUUUCAGACAAUAUAACAAAGACAGGACCACGUGACAGGAAAUCAUCAUGGCACGUGUUGCUAUGAACAUUCUUCUGGUGAUUUGUACGGUACUUAUUGUGGAAGCCAGUAG
This 4347-nucleotide long non-coding RNA is filed under the name Mytilus galloprovincialis (Mediterranean mussel). The record is from RNAcentral. Lineage: Eukaryota; Metazoa; Mollusca; Bivalvia; Mytilida; Mytilidae.